CGUCCGCCGCUCACCCGCUGCAGGUUCUCUGGCCGCUCCCUCGCCCGCCCGGUCAGUCCCCACCUGCCCUCUCUCAGGCCCCCACUCACUCAUUCAUCCAUUUAUUCUCACUCUCACCCUCUGGUGCGCUCGCUCGCUCACUUCCUCGUUCGUCCGCCCGCUGGUCCAUCCGCUCGUUCGUUCACCGACUCGCUCACCCGCUCACUCAGCCACCUGGGCAUUCAGUCGUUCACUCACUCACUCAGGUCUCCGGACUGCCCCCUGGAGGCCGGGCGGGCCUGUGCAUUGGUACCCUCCCCUAUCUGGAGGACGGACCGGCCACCGGAGUGGAGCGAGUGUCCCACCUUCCAGAAGAAGACUGUGGGAGGGCCGCACAAGAGCACUCCCCCGGCCCUGGCCGGGUGAAGGGAUCCCGGGAUGCGGAGAGCCUCAGCUGAAGCUGGAGGAAUGAGGAAUUCGGCAGGAGAAAGGAGCGGAUACCCACAGACCCCGAGGCAUCGCACAGCUGCAAACGCUGUGGUCUUCCUGGAGCUAAAAGCGGAGGCCGAAGAGGAAGCUGGAGCGACUGGUAUACCGGGCUCCGUUAGGGAGGGCCUUGUUCCCAAGGAAAAGGAGAACUCGGGUAAGCGAACUGACAGAACUUGGGACGCAGAACACUGAAGCUGGGACUCCUGUGCAGGCGGACGUGCAGAAAGGGGCUCUACUGAUCAUCCUACUGAUGCCAGCACCUCCAACUCCUACUAAAGACCUUUCCAGAGAGUCACUAAAAUGCCCCGGGGAGGAUACCCUCCUCGAGGUUAUUAAUAAUCGUGCACGUGUUUGUGAGCACAGGCUCGAUCACACUGUAGUAACAAUCUCAAGUCUCAGAGGCCAGAAACAACAAAGGGGUUGCAUUCACCAUCAACCCUCAGAAACCCAGGGUGAGAGGGCGGCCACCACUUUGAAUUUCUGCCCUCCUGACAAAGGGAAAGCACUCGGAGCGUUUAGCUGCUCUGGCUCAGAAUCACCACAAGGCUUCUACUCACGACUCGUUGGCCAGAACUAGUCAUGGCUGUGCCCAACCACAAGUGGAACACUUUACCAUGCCCUUGGAAAGAGAGCCAGCCAGAAACGUCUGAUGAACAGCAGUAAAUGCUAACCACACUAACCAAGCGAACAUUUACUGAACAUGCCUAUUAUGUACUGAGCACUCUUACAUAUGCCUUUUACGUAGAAACACAUGACUCCUCACAGUAAAUCUAGAAAAUAGUA
Long non-coding RNA from Odocoileus virginianus texanus, 1251 nucleotides. RefSeq lists it as uncharacterized. The record is from RefSeq and is a predicted model, not a curated record. NCBI's taxonomy places the organism in Eukaryota, Metazoa, Chordata, Mammalia, Artiodactyla, Cervidae.